AUUGAACGCUGGGGGCAGGCCUAACACAUGCAAGUCGAGCGGAUGAAGGGAGCUUGCUCCUGGAUUCAGCGGCGGACGGGUGAGUAAUGCCUAGGAAUCUGCCUGGUAGUGGGGGAUAACGUCCGGAAACGGGCGCUAAUACCGCAUACGUCCUGAGGGAGAAAGUGGGGGAUCUUCGGACCUCACGCUAUCAGAUGAGCCUAGGUCGGAUUAGCUAGUUGGUGGGGUAAAGGCCUACCAAGGCGACGAUCCGUAACUGGUCUGAGAGGAUGAUCAGUCACACUGGAACUGAGACACGGUCCAGACUCCUACGGGAGGCAGCAGUGGGGAAUGUUGGACAAUGGGCGAAAGCCUGAUCCAGCCAUGCCGCGUGUGUGAAGAAGGUCUUCGGAUUGUAAAGCACUUUAAGUUGGGAGGAAGGGCAGUAAGUUAAUACCUUGCUGUUUUGACGUUACCAACAGAAUAAGCACCGGCUAACUUCGUG
Molecule: ribosomal RNA, 484 nt
Filed under: uncultured bacterium
Lineage: Bacteria
Description: partial 16S ribosomal RNA
Rfam family: Bacterial small subunit ribosomal RNA
Source: RNAcentral